RNA transcript from Perca fluviatilis (European perch), 2570 nucleotides. It is a transcript of the gene named protein ENL-like, with no coding region annotated. The transcript is spliced from 7 exons. Lineage: Eukaryota; Metazoa; Chordata; Actinopteri; Perciformes; Percidae. The record is from RefSeq and is a predicted model, not a curated record.
CUGGCACUUACAGCCAUGCCACUCUCAAAGUUGCUUAGAUCACCUUUCUUUCCCAUUCUGACAUUCAGUUUAGAGUUCAGGAGAUUGGCUAGACCUGGAUGACACCCCUAAAUGCAUUGAAGCAGCUGCCAUGUGAUUGGUUGAUUAGAUAAUUGCAUUAAUGAGAAAUCUUACAGGUAUUCCUAAUAAUCCUUUAGGUGAGUGUAUUAUUCGCCAACAAUUGGUUAAUGUUUAAGGUUUACCACAUUCUUGAUUGUAGACUGAAAUACAGCGGGGUGGAAAAGAUGACAAAUUCUUUGUGUGCAGACAUUUAACUUGAAUCCAGUUAUGAUGACCACCCAUUCAUUGACCAAUCAUUACCAAGCAAAGAACCCAGGAUAAAAUCAGAAUUUUAAGAUCUUGUAAGGAAAGACUUUGCUUCUUCAAAUAAUAUUGCAUAAAUACUGUUACUAUUUUAGUGUUAUGUUUAGGCCUGGGUAUCGUUUCUAAAAUGUCCAUUACCGUGACUCCAAUACAGUGGCGUAGGCAGAAAUAGUAUUUUGGGCAGGCCAGUACAAAAGUGAGUGGGCCAUUUUUAAAAAGAUGCAAAAGUAGCAAAAAGCACAAACUAAAAAAAAACUGUUUACCUUUCAACACACUGCAUUACAACGGCAAUAGCAGUACUGUCUACAACAUGCUCAACCAACAAAGCUACAACAGUAUAGACAAAAACCUGUCGAUUUUAACCUAUUCAGGCAAAAAUAUAUUUGCACCGGCAGAACCAGCAGCAUUGGCUCUGCACAGCACGGUUAUAAAUUAACCAUUUUAUUGCACAAAGUGGCUUCUUGAAUUUCCCCUUGGGGAUCAAUAAAGUAUCUAUCUAUUAACUAAACAUGAACCCAAACAGCAGAGAAGGCGUUUACAUACUGCAUGACAUAGAAUAGCCUACAUCAGACAGAAAUCGCACAUGUAACAUAUCCUUUGUGCAUUCAUAACAGCAUUGUUUCUUCAGGACUAUGGUCAGAUCAUGAGCAGCAAAUGCGCUACCAGCAGUAAAAGAAAAUAAAAGAAUGAAAACUUCCAGCCAAGCAUUGUUUAAAUUAUGAAAGAUAUAAUGAAGAGUUGCCAGCAAAGCACCAAAUCUUAGACAGUGUAUCGAGUCCACGGCAGUGACAGGUUUAAUAUUAUGAAAGAAAUCACUUUUUCUGGGAUUUGGGGUGUUAUUUUGUGUCUCUGGUGCUUCCACAUGCAUACAAACUUGGAGAAAAAAAAAACAUCCAUGCUGUUUUGAGUGAGAUACAGGUUUCUGAAUGUAUCCUGCCUUCAGUCUCCGGGGGACUGGCCAAAAUCGGCUGGACCGUCUACGUCAUCGGCCGAAACAUUUGUGCACAGUGCAGGUGAAGCUGGAGUUGGGCCACAGAGCCCAGCUAAGGAAGAAGGUGACAUCAGAAGGCUUCACCCACGACUGGAUGGUGUUUGUCCGAGGGCCAGAGACCGGCGACAUCCAGCACUUUGUAGAGAAGGUUGUCUUCUGCCUGCAUGACAGCUUCCCCAUAUCCAAGAGAGUAUGCAAGGAGCCUCCAUAUAAAGUAGAGGAGACAGGCAACACAGGCAUUCUCAUGCAUAUCGAGGUCCACUUCAAGAACAAGGAGCUGCCAAAAAAGAUGUGUUUUAAGUACCAGCUUAACCUAGAGGGUGACCACCUGCGCUGUGAGAUGCUCACCUUCAACAACCCCAACAAAGACUUCAGGAGAAAGCUGAUCAAAGCUGGAGCGGUUAUGGUAUUUCCAAAGGGCACUGAGGCAGCAACAAGGUCCAGUCCAGACUCCUCUAUACCCCCAACUAAGAAGAUCAAGACCUCCCAUGUGUCCGAGGAACCCAGCAAAGAAUGAAGUAAUGGCAUCAGUCAAUCUGCACAAGCCGACCAAGGAGCAUCGUGAUUGGCCCUGAAAAGACUCUGAGAGCAAAGCAGACGACAGAGGUGGAAGCAGCAAGAAAUGUUAAUUCUAUAAGGCUGCCACCCACUGCUCCCCAUGUGCCCAAAGAGAGCACUCUCUUGUUUUCAGCUGUGAUCCGUCUUGCAGGCAAGAUCCAUCAUCCAUAAUUUGUCGCAAACAUCCAAUGUGUUUGACUCACUUAAGACACAGUUGUGUAGCAGGGUGGAGACUACAGGUGUGUAUUCUGACUAUUUGAGUGUAGCCUGUCCUGACGUAAACCAGUCAUGUCUGCAGAUUGUAAAGCUGUGAUUUUGUAUGAAGUAUGAAAUUCAAGGUCUUCAUUUUUCAAUUAUAUGUUUAGGUACAAUUAUGAUGAAGUAAUAGGGCUCCAAAGAGGAGGUAAAACUGUUCUCACCUCCAUUUUCCAUUGGGAAGUGGACAAAACACAAUCAUAAUUUUUUUGUUUUGUGACUUUUCUGAAAACCAUAUCAGAUUGUCAAAGUCAAAGCACCUGACCUUGAACUGUAUCAUUUUUAAUGCUGUCAGUUUCACGCGUUAUUAACGGCGUUAAGGCAAACCCAUUUUAACGCCGUACUUUUUUUAUUGUGAGAUUAACGUUCUUUUUAGCCUAGCAAACUUUGUAGUUUUUUUAAC